This 423-nucleotide ribosomal RNA is filed under the name uncultured bacterium. RNAcentral's name for it is "bacterial SSU rRNA". It matches the Rfam family "Bacterial small subunit ribosomal RNA", at positions 355 to 796 of the family's 1533-position model. The record is from RNAcentral.
CUAGGAAUCUUGGGAAUGGGCGAAAGCCUGACCCAGCAACGCCGCGUGGGCGAUGAAGGCCUUCGGGUCGUAAAGCCCUUUUGCAGGGGAAGAUGAUGACGGUACCCUGCGAAUAAGCCACGGCUAACUACGUGCCAGCAGCCGCGGUAAUACGUAGGUGGCAAGCGUUGUCCGGAUUUACUGGGCGUAAAGGGCGUGCAGGCGGUCUGCUAAGUCUAGGGUGAAAGCUCCCGGCUCAACUGGGAGAGGUCCUUGGAUACUGGCGGACUUGAGGGAGGUAGAGGAGAGUGGAAUUCCCGGUGUAGUGGUGAUAUGCGUAGAUAUCGGGAGGAACACCAGUGGCGAAGGCGGCUCUCUGGGCCUUUCCUGACGCUGAGACGCGAAAGCGUGGGGAGCGAACCGGAUUAGAUACCCCCGUAGUCC